GGAUCGAUAUUGACGCGUGUAGGUGCGGCGUUAUGGUGGGAGAGGCACCGCUUUCUGAAAUCGUUCGACGGUGUGUUAAAACUCGUGGCAACGUGAGAACGGAGAGGGAGGGGUGAAAACCGGGGUAAACAUGGGAACGGUUGUUGUGGUGGAGAGAAAGUACUAUUGUGAAGUAUCCAACAGUGGCAAGGAAUAUACGACAGAGUUUGUAGUGGAGCUGGGAGGGCCGAGCAUAAGGGACGAAGGGGUAAGAAACAUGUCGGAUGCGAUGAUACCAGCACUAAAGCACC
RNAcentral lists this ribosomal RNA (290 nucleotides) under Hordeum secalinum. The record is from RNAcentral. Lineage: Eukaryota; Viridiplantae; Streptophyta; Magnoliopsida; Poales; Poaceae.